Molecule: ribosomal RNA, 495 nt
Filed under: uncultured bacterium
Lineage: Bacteria
Description: partial 16S ribosomal RNA
Rfam family: Bacterial small subunit ribosomal RNA
Source: RNAcentral
GACGAACGCUGGCGGCGUGCCUAAUACAUGCAAGUAGAACGCUGAAGGAGGAGCUUGCUUCUCUGGAUGAGUUGCGAACGGGUGAGUAACGCGUAGGUAACCUGCCUGGUAGCGGGGGAUAACUAUUGGAAACGAUAGCUAAUACCGCAUAAGAGUAGAUGUCGCAUGACAUUUGCUUAAAAGGUGCAAUUGCAUCACUACCAGAUGGACCUGCGUUGUAUUAGCUAGUUGGUGAGGUAGCGGCUCACCAAGGCAACGAUACAUAGCCGACCUGAGAGGGGGAUCGGCCACACUGGGACUGAGACACGGCCCAGACUCCUACGGGAGGCAGCAGUAGGGAAUCUUCGGCAAUGGACGGAAGUCUGACCGAGCAACGCCGCGGGAGUGAAGAAGGUUUUCGGAUCGUAAAGCUCUGUUGUAAGAGAAGAACGAGUGUGAGAGUGGAAAGUUCACACUGUGACGGUAUCUUACCAGAAAGGGACGGCUAACUACGUG